Molecule: transfer RNA, 74 nt
Filed under: Chloroflexi bacterium HGW-Chloroflexi-1
Lineage: Bacteria; Bacillati; Chloroflexota
Description: tRNA-Arg
Rfam family: tRNA
About the family: Transfer RNA (tRNA) molecules are approximately 80 nucleotides in length.
Source: RNAcentral
GCCCCCGUAGCUCAGGUAGAUAUAGCGAGGCACUCCUAACGCCCAGGCCACUGGUUUGAAUCCAGUCGGGGGUA